UACUGAGGGUUGCAUACAUGUCUUCCCUCACCUCCCAUCUCGUGGUUAAGGGAAAAUCGCCGACUAUAGACAAUCUAGAGCAGUUGGUGGAGCUGCGGAAAACUCAAGGAUGGGAAUGGGGCACUGUGAUCGCAGACGGGGCUUUCCGUAGUUUUUUAAGCACAAGUUCGAAUCCAAGUUACCCCAUCGUUGAAAAGCACAUGGAGACAUUACCGACUGAAGAGGGAAUUCAGAGAGUGUUAAGAGGAGGUUAUUCGUAUGUGCGCAACUAUUUCUACACAAAAAUAAUAACAAAGACCUACCUCAUAGGAGAAACAGACUAUGUUCCUUUCCACAUCGGUGCCACGAAGUAUCCCCUUUACCUCGGAAACUCUUGGGCAUUCAGAAAAGGCACUCCCUUUCUGUCCCGCUUCUCCAAGACUAUCCAGAGGUUCCUGGAUGCUGGGCUGGUGACGCAAUGGAUGGACAAUGUCAUCAAGACACAUGUUUGGCUGAAGCAACAAGAGAGAAAGGCGUCUAAUAAUAAUGCCGUGUUGCCGUUAGCCAUAGUUCCGAGUAAGGAAGGACAAGAAGUGCUGGGACUGCUACACUUGCAAGGCACGUUCUAUAUACUCGCCCUGGGCUCGACAGUAGCAUCCCUCGCCUUCCUUGCCGAGCACCUGCUGCAUCACUGCUAAUUAAAGGACUCUUGAAGUAUAACGAUAUUUAUUCAUCUUUUCAUUUUACAUUGGCAUAUUUGUUAACCAAAAUUCAUAUCGCUUCAAUGUAUCAAGCCCUUGCUUUCCCAGAUUAAUAGUAACAGUUUUGCAUGCUCAACAUCAUGACUUGUCUGGUGACCACAAGCAAGAAUUUACAAAUAUAAUACAACUGCUGAAAUCAUGCAAUGUAAGUAACAAGUUACAAUGCACAAGAUUAUUUUACAAUGCAAAGAUUAUUUUAUUUAUCCUCAUAUAAUGUGCAUGAAGAAAAGAAAAAUAUACAAAAAGAAAAACAAAAGUAUGCUAGGAAAUUAAUCCCAGAGAAGGAAAAUAAGUUCGAAUGUGCCUUCCAUCUCAAAAAAAAAAAAAAUCGUUUCCGUUAUAUCUAUAUCUGGAAUCAUAACAUUUUUGUAUUAAAAUUGUCAAAUAUUUAUAUAAAAAUAAAAUCACUCAAAAUCACUCUGCAUUUAGCCCAAAAAAAUAUAUCUAAUACUGAAUGAUUCUCGAUAUGUUCCUACUGUCCUUUUUAUCAUUGUCCUUAUUCCCAGUGAUUAUUUGCGUGUUUCUUUGUAAACGUGUCUUCUAUGAUCCGCCGUGAUUCCUGGAAGGCUUAUCGUUUUGUUUAGUGAGCGUCUCCUCUGUCGUUCUCCUAAACUAUAUUUCUGCCUCGUGCACUUCCUGGUCGAACGUUUCCGACUUUAUUAGCAUCUAGCUUGCCUUCUUGAAGGACGUUUGACUAUACUGAAUAUGUUCCCUAAGACGGGUGACUGCUGUAAUCCUUUAAGUUCUUGAUACAUUGUUUUGAUUUCGUGUCUUUAUUUUUUCCCCAUACACUGUAUCUGAUAGUCAGUAUGGAAUGUGUAAAAGACGAUCCCCUGGUCAUCUAUUUACGAUUUAUUUUCUGGUAAAUCUUGUUAUCUCAGUU
Long non-coding RNA from Scylla paramamosain (green mud crab), 1623 nucleotides. RefSeq lists it as uncharacterized. Lineage: Eukaryota; Metazoa; Arthropoda; Malacostraca; Decapoda; Portunidae. The record is from RefSeq and is a predicted model, not a curated record. The transcript has 4 exons.